GCGGGGAACCGUGUGAGGUAGACGUAGUGGGUGUGCUCGCCGCCGUUUACAGAAGUGAAAAAAUGUAAAUAUCCCGUGAAGUUUCGUGUCCCAUCUCUGUGCCAUAAUAAAAACUAUUAAUCUUAAGUACAACACAUUAUUUAUUAACAUAAUCUAAAAAAAAAUAAUAA
This is a non-coding RNA of Penaeus vannamei (Pacific white shrimp), 170 nucleotides long. Lineage: Eukaryota; Metazoa; Arthropoda; Malacostraca; Decapoda; Penaeidae. The record is from RefSeq and is a predicted model, not a curated record.